AUUGAACGCUGGCGGCAGGCCUAACACAUGCAAGUCGAACGAGUGGCGGACGGGUGAGUAAUGUCUGGGAAUCUGCCUGAUGGAGGGGGAUAACUACUGGAAACGGUAGCUAAUACCGUAUACUAUCAUAUGUGCCGAGAUGGGAGUCGCUUGUUUGUGGGGUAACGGCUCACCAAGGCGACGAUCACUAGCGGGUCUGAGAGGAUGACCAGCAACACUGGAACUGAGACACGGUCCAGACUCCGACGGGAGGCAGCAGUGGGGAAUAUUGCACAAUGGGGGCAAGCCUGAUGAAGCCAUGCCGCGUGUAUGAAGAAGGCCUUCGGGUUGUAAAGUACUUUCAGCGGGGAGGCGUUACCCGCAGAAGAAGCACCGGCUAACUCCGUGCCAGCAGCCGCGGUAAUAC
This 406-nucleotide ribosomal RNA is filed under the name uncultured bacterium. Its description in RNAcentral is "partial 16S ribosomal RNA". It matches the Rfam family "Bacterial small subunit ribosomal RNA", at positions 30 to 526 of the family's 1533-position model. The record is from RNAcentral.